ACAGCCAUAGGGGAUGGAACUGAUUGGAUACUACAGCCAUAGGGGAUGGAACUGAUUGGAUACUACAGCCAUAGGGGAUGGAACUGAUUGGUUACUACAGCCAUAGGAGAUGGAACUGAUUGGUUACUACAGCCAUAGGGGAUGGAACUGAUUGGAUACUACAGCCAUAGGGGAUGGAACUGAUUGGAUACUACAGCCAUAGGGGAUGGAACUGAUUGGAUACUACAGCCAUAGGGGAUGGAACUGAUUGUGAAUGCACACAGGUGCAGAUAAGAGGUCAAUCUCAGUUGGGCACUCCACCAGCUGUACAGAGGAAGAACGCCUUGCCAGAAGAUCCUCAAAGUGUUUGGGGUACAGACCUUCCAAAGAUUUCUGGUUGAACACAUUGCCAUAGACAUCCAAUAUCUUGUUGAUUUCCC
Molecule: long non-coding RNA, 419 nt
Filed under: Salmo salar (Atlantic salmon)
Lineage: Eukaryota; Metazoa; Chordata; Actinopteri; Salmoniformes; Salmonidae
Description: lncRNA (ENSSSAG00000093273.1)
Source: RNAcentral